This 280-nucleotide ribosomal RNA is filed under the name Listeria monocytogenes. Its description in RNAcentral is "partial 23S ribosomal RNA". It matches the Rfam family "Bacterial large subunit ribosomal RNA", at positions 2648 to 2925 of the family's 2925-position model. Lineage: Bacteria; Bacillati; Bacillota; Bacilli; Caryophanales; Listeriaceae. The record is from RNAcentral.
CGGGCGCAGGAAAUUUGAGAGGAGCUGUCCUUAGUACGAGAGGACCGGGAUGGACACACCGCUGGUGUACCAGUUGUUCCGCCAGGAGCAUCGCUGGGUAGCUAUGUGUGGCAGGGAUAAACGCUGAAAGCAUCUAAGCGUGAAGCCCCCCUCAAGAUGAGAUUUCCCAUUUCUUCGGAAAGUAAGAUCCCUGAAAGAUGAUCAGGUAGAUAGGUUUGGAGUGGAAGUGUAGCGAUACAUGGAGCGGACAAAUACUAAUCGAUCGAGGACUUAACCAAAA